RNAcentral lists this ribosomal RNA (498 nucleotides) under uncultured bacterium. RNAcentral's name for it is "partial 16S ribosomal RNA". It matches the Rfam family "Bacterial small subunit ribosomal RNA", at positions 30 to 523 of the family's 1533-position model. The record is from RNAcentral.
AUUGAACGCUGGCGGCAUGCCUUACACAUGCAAGUCGAACGGUAACAGGUCUUCGGAUGCUGACGAGUGGCGAACGGGUGAGUAAUACAUCGGAACGUGCCCGAUCGUGGGGGAUAACGGAGCGAAAGCUUUGCUAAUACCGCAUACGAUCUACGGAUGAAAGCAGGGGACCGCAAGGCCUUGCGCGGACGGAGCGGCCGAUGGCAGACUAGGUAGUUGGUGGGAUAAAAGCUUACCAAGCCGAGGAUCUGUAGCUGGUCUGAGAGGACGACCAGCCAGACUGGGACUGAGACACGGCCCGUACUACUACGGGAGGCAGCAGUUGGGAAUUUUGUACAAUGGGCGCAAGCCUGAUCCAGCCAUGCCGCGUGCAGGAUGAAGGCCUUCGGGUUGUAAACUGCUUUUGUACGGAACGAAACAGCUCUUUCUAAUAAAGAGGGCUAAUGACGGUACCGUAAGAAUAAGCACCGGCUAACUACGUGCAAGCAGCCGCAGUAA